RNAcentral lists this ribosomal RNA (254 nucleotides) under uncultured bacterium. RNAcentral's name for it is "partial 16S ribosomal RNA". It matches the Rfam family "Bacterial small subunit ribosomal RNA", at positions 524 to 776 of the family's 1533-position model. The record is from RNAcentral.
UACAGAGGUCCCAAGCGUUGUUCGGAUUCACUGGGCGUAAAGGGUGCGUAGGUGGUGGGGUAAGUCGGAUGUGAAAUCUCCGAGCUCAACUCGGAAACUGCAUUGGAAACUACCCUGCUAGAGGGUCGGAGGGGGGACUGGAAUACUUGGUGUAGCAGUGAAAUGCGUAGAUAUCAAGUGGAACACCAGUGGCGAAGGCGAGUCCCUGGACGACUCCUGACACUGAGGCACGAAAGCUAGGGGGAGCAAACAGG